This is a long non-coding RNA of Pocillopora damicornis (cauliflower coral), 797 nucleotides long. RefSeq lists it as uncharacterized. The record is from RefSeq and is a predicted model, not a curated record. NCBI's taxonomy places the organism in Eukaryota, Metazoa, Cnidaria, Anthozoa, Scleractinia, Pocilloporidae.
GAGACGAAAAUAUGGCUGUCUUCACGAGAGUUGCCGAUUUUCUUCAAAAAUCAAUCGCCUUUACUUGUGCAGUGGGAUGUAUUUACAUCUUAGCUAUAUCUGGAAGGAACUAUUUAAUAAUACGUAAGAGGAGACUCGCGAAUGCGGCCGCAAUUGAAGCCGAAAAAACAACUGAUGUACCUUCAUCGUCGUAGACGGAAUGCUUCUACAUUCAAUCUUAUAGGGAUCAAGCCUAACAAUUUGUAGAAAAAAACUUGUUGGUGGUGAGGAAUGGAGCUGGUGGAGCUGUGGAUGAAAGUAAAAUUCUCAGACAAAGGUUACUUUUCUGACGCAGAAAGAAAAUAUUGUUCUUUUGAUGCCUACUCUGCCAAGGAACAUGCUAAAUAUUUGUGCAUUCUUGGUGAACUUGAAAUUGCUGUCAAAAGUGACGUACAUUUUUCUCUAUUGAUAUUCAGGAUUUGGUAGUUCACCCGCAGAAUGACCUAUUGUUCACAAUCUGUUUUCACCUUGUUGAGGGUUGCACUGAAAAGAACUGUUUUUCAGUGAACCAAGGUGACGCCGCAAAACUGUCUGAAAAGUGUAACCCUUGUUUUAUUUCAUUGUGAACAAUAGUGUGAGUACAUAUGUUACUAAAAAGAGCAUUUCAUUGGUUUUUGUUUAAAAAUUUCCGGAAACAUGUUCAUAGAUGUACCAAGAAUUACCUUUUUUUACACAUGGGUUACCUAGCCAUCAGAAAUUGAGAAUUUUGUAAUGUAUAUAGUUGAACUGGUAAUAAAGGACAUUACAUGAACUUUAAA